UCCGAGUUGACCCCGGCAGUCUCCUGCGAGUCCCCGGCAUUACCCGCUGGCAACAUAGGGCAAGGGUUGCGCUCGUUGCGGGACUUAACCCAACAUCUCACGACACGAGCUGACGACAGCCAUGCAGCACCUGUGCACGUGUCCCGAAGGAGGGCCCCUGUUUCCAGGGGCUUUCACGUGCAUGUCAAGCCCAGGUAAGGUUCUUCGGGUUGCAUCGAAUUAAGCCGCAUGCUCCGCCGCUUGUGCGGGGACCCGUCAAUUCCUUUGAGUUUUAGCCUUGCGGCCGUACUCCCCAGGCGGGAUACUUAAUGCGUUAGCUUCGGCACGGAGAGGGUUGAAGACCUCCCCACACCUAGCACCCAACGUUUACGGCUGGGACUAC
This 382-nucleotide unclassified non-coding RNA is filed under the name uncultured Actinomycetes bacterium. RNAcentral's name for it is "uncultured actinobacterium contains 16S-23S intergenic spacer region". The record is from RNAcentral. Lineage: Bacteria; Bacillati; Actinomycetota; Actinomycetes.